Long non-coding RNA from Anopheles stephensi (Asian malaria mosquito), 1083 nucleotides. RefSeq lists it as uncharacterized. The transcript is spliced from 2 exons. The record is from RefSeq and is a predicted model, not a curated record. NCBI's taxonomy places the organism in Eukaryota, Metazoa, Arthropoda, Insecta, Diptera, Culicidae.
UUCACAACCACCACCGACCGACGGCUAGGCUACGAUAACCGUUUUCAUACAGCGACCCGUUUCCUGACACGAUUUCACUGACCACCGGCUGCUGCUGCCACAUCAACCACCGACAACAACAUUUUCGCCUGUUUUGCAGACCACUUUUGCUCUCCCUCCAAACGGACCGCAACGGAACACCGCAGAACGACAAUAUUUCGCACAGAAAUCUUUCUGUGAAUCGCUCGUUGUGUUAUUUAGCUGUCAAAAAAGGCGAGUUUCGGGUGGUGUGUGCCUGCAGAGGCAGCGGGGAUGGGCAUCGGAGACGACGUACGGCACCAGAAACAACAAAGCCAGCCAAUCGCUACUUCAGAACUGUCAGCACUGACAACGAGUUGUCUAUUUCGAACGCGGCAAAAUGCAGCAUCUACAAAGCCUACCCGCGAUCCGUCUAUGUACGGUACGCGCUAGCUCGAUUGACUGAAGGAAAAAACAAAAUGGCGUCUGUGCGUUCGCUUCAAGGCAACGCGCAAGUGUGUGCAUGCGUGCGCUAGUGUUCGUGCUAUGUGUCAGCUGUCUGUCAGCGGCGCAUUGCGUGCUUUUUGUUUUAUUUUUCUCUCCUCGCACGUCAUGUGAAACGACAACGAAUGAUACAAAUAUGUUUUGUUCUCCUUUUAAAGAACAAACAUGAAUUAAAUUAGCAAGCAGAUUAUGUUGUAAGUGUGUUGUUUCCAUUUGCUCGCGAAAAGAACAACGAUGAAACAUUUACCCCAGUGUUUUCUCCCCUACCCAUACUCGCACGUGCACACACACACACCCAUGCAUACACAAGCCGCACACAGCUGCGGUUUGAUGAAUGUGUGCUAUGCUGCAACAUGACAGCCACUGUCAAAAAGUUCUUCACUGAAACGUAAUUAUCUUCCGAAACUGCGACGCGUUUCUUCCUCCCGAAGCCAAUCUAAGCAGCAUAAUACAAAAUGGCUACCCCCGUCUCAUGUGGAAUUGUGGCGCAGCAUAAGCGUAGAUUUAAUUGAUUCGGUGACGUUGUGGAAAACCACUCCACAUUCAUGAAAACUUAUCUAAAUAAACAACUCCUAUCGAUUA